RNAcentral lists this ribosomal RNA (253 nucleotides) under uncultured bacterium. RNAcentral describes it as "partial 16S ribosomal RNA". It matches the Rfam family "Bacterial small subunit ribosomal RNA", at positions 524 to 776 of the family's 1533-position model. The record is from RNAcentral.
UACGUAGGAUGCAAGCGUUAUCCGGAAUUAUUGGGCGUAAAGCGAACGUAGGCGGUUUCGUAAGUCUGGAGUUAAAGGCCAAGGCUCAACCUUGGAAAUGCUUUGGAAACUACGAGACUGGAGGACGGCAGAGGAAAGUGGAAUUCCCAGUGUAGCGGUGAAAUGCGUAGAUAUUGGGAGGAACACCAGUGGCGAAAGCGACUUUCUGGGCCGUUCCUGACGCUGAGGUUCGAAAGCCAGGGGAGCAAACGGG